ACAACGAAGAGAAGGAGAGUGGAAGCGUGCACGCAAAAAGAGCAAGUUUUGAAGUUUUAAACGCAAAUGCAUGGUGUUUGUUUGUUAUUUGUUUGUUUACGGGACAAGGUCCCCACGUUCCCCCGCUGAGGACGUCAUUUGUUCUUGGUGCAAGCACGAGAGGGGGAAAAUCCCCAAGUAUAACAAGAGACGAACAGUUAGUGCUGAUUUUCAUUUGCAUAAAUUUUCAUAUAUUUUAGUGAAAAUAAUAGCGGUGCCGAGGAGAGCUCUCCGCUCAGUCGAGGCAGAGCGAAAAUCUUAGGAAGGACCAGAUCGGAGGGAGAGUACACGCUCACUAACCGAGAUGUGAAAAAAAAAAAAAAAAAAAAAACAUUUGAGACUUUUUUUUGGGGAGAAUCUGGAUUGGAUGCUCACGGACAGGACUGCCCUCCUUCGCUCCCUCCCUCCACUCGUCCUCGUCUCUCCAUCUCUCGCCUUCCUUCAGGGACUGGGGCCUCUAUUGGGACCUAGACUUACACUACAACCAAGGGACCAGUGCCAUGGCCAUGCUGCAAAUACAUACACACACAUAAAACACACAUGCAUGCAUAAUUUCUCUCUCUCAUACACACACACACACACACACACACACACACACACACAUCCACACACACACACUUCCGUUUUCAGCUCACACUAGCACUGCAGCCCUUCUCCUGCUGGCUAUUUUUCUUUGAGAGACUAUAAAAAAUAUGCAAAUGUUAUUGUUAAAGAAGAAAGCAAAGGCGUUUGUUUCUCCACGCUUGUAGAGCGCAAAGAAGGCGAAAGAAAGGACCUCACAUUUGUCUCUUUAUGAAGACGGACAGAGAAAGAGGGAAUAUGCACAUUAGAUGACCAGGUAGGAUAUUAAAAUUAGCUCCCAAAAGCAGCCGUUGCUAGUUAUUAUAGUCAGGCUGGUGUCAAGAGUGCCGCUCUGGGGCUCUCUUUCAUCAUGGACGGCAGGCCUUAAACACAUGGCAUCAAGCGCUUAAAGAUUGCAGAAAGUACGGAGGCACAUUUGCAAAGCCCUCAUGGUGCCAUCUACACUUUUUGAAGUGAUUACGGAGACAGCUCAGAUCAAAGGCUCUGACAACUCAGAGUGCCCGCCAAGACUGAGCCGCACUAAUCGUGCUGAAGACUCGGGCAACAAUGCAACACACGCAUAAAAAGAUUAUCAGGAGACAGAAAAACGUCUGGGGAAGUAAAUACGGGAUUAGAUAUUUUUUUUUUCAAUUCAACAGCACUGAUAAAGUGGAUGAGAUCAGCAAAACACUGAUAGAUAAAUAUUAAUUAUCAGAGGUUGGGAAAAAAUGAUGGAAGAACAUUUUUCCAAAUAAAUGUUUCACAUUUAGCAAGAGAUUAAGUGCUGAUGAAGGGCUCAGUCUAACUCAGCUACAUGUAAGGCCUAGUAGUCAAAAUUGGUUGGUUUGUUUCUAUUUUAAAAAAUUCCUCCUACAACUUCUUUAUAUAGUAUAUUCAGAUCACAUACUUUUACAUGAUUACAUUAGAUUAAGCACAGAGUGUUCAUUUCCUAUGGCUCGACAUAAUACCUGGAAGAGAAGCAUGUGUUUUUUUUUAUGGUUUUAUUUUAUUUAUGCCGUUCCAUUUUCAUUCCUUUUGACUAUAACUGAAUUACUCAGAGUAAAACAUGCUCAAUGGCUGCAAUAACACUUCAAGACCGUGCAUGACUGUUACAUUUAUAGUUUCUAAAGCAGUAAUAUCAGAAUAUAGAUCAAAUUUUCCAUAUUAUGCAGGACAGAUACAUAAAUACAGAAAUAAAUGUAUAUGUACAGUAUAUUAACAGUAAUAAUAAUAAUAAUACAGUCUAAUUUUUCCUUUACUGUAACUGCGUCAACACAGAGACUGGCAACUGCAGGUGAAACCUUCAAGGACAAAAUCCCACCUGACCUCUCUGUCAUGUCUUGUGCAAUGCUUUCCAACAUUUCUUUCCUGCCGUUUUUUCGUAUAGUUCCUUUUGUGGACUUUGUAAUCUGUGUACACAGUGCUGGUGCGUGAACAAUAAAGGUUCUGUGAGCUCAA
Molecule: long non-coding RNA, 2058 nt
Organism: Pangasianodon hypophthalmus (striped catfish)
Lineage: Eukaryota; Metazoa; Chordata; Actinopteri; Siluriformes; Pangasiidae
Exons: 2
Source: RefSeq, a predicted model, not a curated record